UCUCGUCUGAGUGUGCUGGGGUGUAGACUUUAACUGAUGAAUUUAACGAACGCUCAACACCCGUUGAAUAUGACCGGUGUCAGUAACGUUGGCAAAAAAGCUUAAUUAAAUUGUUGCCAGUAGCACAGUUACAGUCACCAACGCUCUGGAUAACAUGAAACCAGCUCUGCUAAGGACUCUUAUUACAAGUCCCAGGUCCUGAGAAGUAAUUUUUUCUAAUUCAACGGCUUCCUCAUAGUCAUGUUUGGAGCAAGGCCGCAAUGGAACAGAAUAUUGCACUUUGGUGGAUCUUGACUGUGAAAGCGGAGAGCAGAGCACUGGCGCACAUGGAAGGUGUCGCUUAAGAAAAUCCCAGCAGCAGCUUUGGAACACAUAUGACACAGCUCAAAGAAGGAUGCUCUUGGACUGGCUGGAUCAGCAGUAGGGGACACAGAGACCACAGGAAGUAGAGGUGGAGCCCGAAACCACAGACUUUAUUUCAAAUGUCUUUAUCCAAUAAAACAAACUCCCCCAUCUAUUCCAUGCCUCCCCUUGUACUGCAACAACAAUCAAAUCAGUUAAGUAAACCGGUUGCAUUUUUAUCAUAUCUCUCAUUUUGAGUUAAACUUAGACUGUUAUUGAUGCUAAUCAUUUCAAUCUGUUCAAAAUUAAGAGGUUUAUUUAAAAAGUGUUUUUAGGUGUCAAUGUGCCAAAAUGCAAUUGGAGAAAUAUUACAAAAUUAGUACUGGAGUGAUGCUUUUGUAUGAUGGAAUGAGGCCCAGUAUCAGACAAGAGAGGAACUACUCACUCUGUGAGCUCAAAUACUGUAUAUUGUACUGUAUCUUGAAGGAUAGGACAAUAUCCUGUGGCUUUAGAGGGCUAUAGAUUUUUAAUUGUAGAAAUAUCUUCUCAGGGGAACAUCAAUGUUCUGGCUUAAUAACUGAUUUUGGCAUGGAUGAUGAUAUUUAUUGCUCAUCCAGGUCACUGUCUUUCAUAACAAAUGACAAGUGAACACAAAUGUUUUUGUUGGUUUGUUUUUUGGUGCCUUUUCUUCCUGCUGCCAAGACAACCCAGACAAAGCCAUUGGUCCAAUCACUUUGUGAAGCACCGAUUGUGCUCAAUGAUCCUUGCAACCAGUCUCUUGGUUGAUGAGAGGACUGGACUAGAUUAAUAGACUGUCCAUUUCAGGGGAAACCUAUCCAUCUCUAUCAGCAUUUAGAACAAUUAGUGAAAACAAAGCUGAAGCUCUUUCCUCAGAUAUCGGGUCAAUGCCUUUCGUUACGCAAGUGUACACUUACCCUAGCCCGAUGUAACACACUGAGUGUACAAAACAUUAGGAACACCUUCCUAAUAUUGAGUUGCACCCCCCUUUGCCCUCAGAACAGCCUCAAUUCAUUGGGGCAUGGACUCUCCAAGGUGUCGAAAGCAUUCCACAGGGAUGCUGGCCCAUGUUUACUCCAAUGCUUCCCGCAGUUGUGUCAAGUUGGCUGGAUAUCCUUUGCGUGGUGGGCUAUUCUUGAUACACACGGGAAACUGUUUAGCGUGAAAACCCCACUAUCGUUGCAAUUCUUGACACACUAAAACUGGUGCGCCUGGCAUCUGCUACCAUACCCCGUUCAAAGGCACUAAAAUCUUGUCCAUUCACCCUCUGAAUGGCACACAAACAAUCCAUGUCUCAAUUGUCUCAAGGCUUAAAGAUCAUCCUUUAACCUGUCUCCUUCCCUUCAUCUACACUGAUUGAAGUGGAUUUAGUCACCAAGAACUGAUAUCAGUAAGGGAUCAUAGCUUUCACUCAGUGCACAAGUUACAGUAUGCUCCUGUGUUUUGACUGCAGCUGUACAGAAGACCCCCAACCUUACUAACAACAAUAUGCCCCGAUGCAAACACUCGAUUGAUGCAAGCCCACUGCCUUGGGUGUGAGAAAAGUGCUUUACAAAUUCAAUGAAUUAUUAUUACUCAUUUCUCUUUCCCUUCUCAUGCUCUUUCACCACAUGGCCAUGCCACACUUCUCAGGCGGCUGGUCAAAGAGAGACUACACUUGCCAUUGACAGAGAGGGGACAAAGGGACCCCUGGAGGAUCCCCAACCACAGGAAAUUUGCUCUAAUAAGGCAAAAACAAAAUCUCAGCCUCAUGGCAAAAUGUGUAACAACAAAUGUUCUCUGUCUCAUGGCAGGGUGUGUCGAAUAGCAUGAGUUUAGCAAUAAAGCUGCACUUUUUUUCUUUGGCCCAUGGCAAAUUUCAAGGAAUUUAGCUGUUUUAUUUUUGGGUUGGACCCGAAAAUCUGAGCGGUAGAUCUCAGUUUGCAUUUUGAAUCAGAAAGUGAUCUUGACUCAGAAAAGGUUGGUGACCACUGCUCUAGUGUUUGAAAGGACCCGAGGCAUAACAUUAAUCCAGUGAAGAAGAAUCAAUGGGAAGAAGAAUAUAAAGUCAAUCGAAGAGACCAGCUCCAUCCAAAGUGUUUACAUGCUAGCUGUGUUCCAGCACUACUGGGCCACCACUGUGGCUCUUUGCGUUUGACAUGGAUGCCCCACUGUGCUGCCCCCAGAACCCUGAACUGUCUGGCUUUAACAUCCAGGAGCUUAACAGGGGGGCCAACAUGCCUCCGAGCACCAUGUUCAACUCCACUCCAGUGCACUAACACCAGCCUGGUCUCAUAGGCUAGAUGUAACAUAGUAAAUUUAAAUCCGGCACACUCAAAUUAGUAUGGUAUGGUUACAUGAGACAGAAGGUUACUUAAGGCGAAAACAAAAGUUGGAUGGUUUGGUGGCGUGUAACACAAAUGUCUAGCAACCCAAAUAUUGCGUGAUCGAAUCUCAUCACAGACAACUUUUGCAUUUUAGCUAAUUAUAAACUACUUACUACUUUUUAGCUACUUUGCAACUAAACUCAGCAAAAA
This is a non-coding RNA of Salmo salar (Atlantic salmon), 2876 nucleotides long. The record is from RefSeq and is a predicted model, not a curated record. Lineage: Eukaryota; Metazoa; Chordata; Actinopteri; Salmoniformes; Salmonidae.